UGGGGAAUAUUGGACAAUGGGCGCAAGCCUGAUCCAGCAAUGCCGCGUGAGUGAGGAAGGCCUUAGGGUUGUAAAGCUCUUUCGGCGGGGACGAUGAUGACGGUACCCGCAGAAGAAGCCCCGGCUAACUUCGUGCCAGCAGCCGCGGUAAUACGAAGGGGGCGAGCGUUGUUCGGAUUUACUGGGCGUAAAGGGCGCGUAGGCGGCCCUGUUUGUCAGGCGUGAAAGCCCUGGGCUCAACCUGGGAACUGCGCUUGGGACGGCGGGGCUUGAGAUCGGGAGAGGAGAGUGGAAUUCCCAGUGUAGAGGUGAAAUUCGUAGAUAUUGGGAAGAACACCGGUGGCGAAGGCGGCUCUCUGGACCGACACUGACGCUGAGGCGCGAAAGCGUGGGGAGCAAACAGGAUUAGAUACCCCUGUAGUCC
Molecule: ribosomal RNA, 424 nt
Filed under: uncultured bacterium
Lineage: Bacteria
Description: bacterial SSU rRNA
Rfam family: Bacterial small subunit ribosomal RNA
Source: RNAcentral